Non-coding RNA from Paramisgurnus dabryanus, 1173 nucleotides. NCBI's taxonomy places the organism in Eukaryota, Metazoa, Chordata, Actinopteri, Cypriniformes, Cobitidae. The record is from RefSeq and is a predicted model, not a curated record.
CUCAUUUUGAGUGACAGAAAAACUGACCAAUCAUACUGUUCCUCUGAAUGGGUGGGUUCUCUUAUCACUAACUCUCAUAGAUAUGUAUCAUGUAUGUAUCUAUUAUGACAAAUUCUGCUCGCUCUCUCGCUUGGUUCGUGUUAUAAAAAUAAAUGUGACUUUACUGCGGUCUUUUUCGGUUUAUUUAGUUUUGUGUUAACUAUAUUCGAAUAAAUUGGUAAUGUAAAACUAUUCUUCGCUGUAAAUUAAUUGUGUGCUCAAUUGCGACGCCCUGUGUUGAAUUUUCCCGCGAGUACAGUAUCAUUACUGAGGGGAAAUAUAACAUUAUUCAUUUAAUUCCACAAAAGGCCUGUAACGUACUGCAGCUUCCUGCAGGCAACGUGAAACAUUGCUGAGGGAGAACUUUAUUCACAACAAAAGGAUAAAGAUGAAGAGGCGGGACUUGAGCAGCUUGUGAUGGCUGUAAUUGUAAAGAAUGGAUCUUCUAGGAGUGGAAGCCCAAAGGAUGCUGGAAUUGUUAUUGAGGCCUUAAAGGUGUUCACAGGGCAUGCUUUAUCCUUGGAUCUAUGCAUUGAAUCUCCAGUAUCCCAGGCAUCUUUUCAGGUGUUUCAGAAACUUUUCUUGGAGCUGGAUUCUUCAAAGUUUAUGAACUGAUUACAGUACAGUAAGUCUAAACUGCUGUCUGAUGUUCUAGUUGUUAAUCAAUGUAACAGAACACAAACAUGGAACCUUUCGUCGGGAAAUGUGGACGGUUUCUUUAAAGACUGUAAAAUACUUUUUGAAGUUUACACUGUUACAAAUACAUCAUUAAAAUGAGAUGCUUUCCUGUUCUUUUGACUGCAAUAAAAUAAGAAUUGAUUCAUCUUUGUCUGUCAUUCUGAAAUCAGAUAUAAUACUCAUUACUAAUAAAAAUAUUAAUGGAUGAAAUUUUAAAAUUAAAAUAGUAUAAUUGAAUAGAAUUUAUUGUAUAGUGCUAGGUCUUUGUCCUGUAUACCCAAUAUUUUGUUUAAAUUUAAAUUAAUUUCUAAUUGCAAAUUGCAGAUUAUCUUUUUGAAUGGGUUACUAUUAAAGAGUUUAUGGAGUGAUUCUAACACAAUUUUUAUUUAUUGAAUUUAAUUAAUGAUAUUGCUUGUAAUCUGUUGCCACACUUUUAUUGAGUAGAUAUCAAAUAAU